Telopea speciosissima is the source of this 86-nucleotide small nucleolar RNA. RefSeq annotates it as small nucleolar RNA snoR116. Lineage: Eukaryota; Viridiplantae; Streptophyta; Magnoliopsida; Proteales; Proteaceae. The record is from RefSeq and is a predicted model, not a curated record. The transcript has a single exon.
GGGCGAUGACGAUGAAAACUUACCAUCAAACUAUGAAAGCUUGAUCAAAUCUUGUUGAUGUUAUCGAAUCAUUACUCUCUGAGCUU